AAAUUACCAAGGAGCAGGUAUCAGGCACAACCCGUUAGCCCAAAACACCUUGCUACGCCACACCCACACGGGCACCCAGCAGUGAUAAAUAUUAAGCAAUGAGUAAAAACCAACUAAAGCUCGACUUAGUUAUGAUUAUUAGGGCCGGUAAACCUCGUGCCAGCCACCGCGGUUAUACGAGGGGCCCGAAACAACGGAAAUCGGCGUAAAUUGUGACUAGAGUAUCUACUUAUAUCAUUGGAAAAUAAACAAAAACUCAACCGUAAAACCCGAGUCAAAAGAAACAUAAUUUUCCAACUACAAAGAAACUUGAACCCACGAAGACUAAGAAACAAACUAGGAUUAGAUACCCUACUAUGCUUAGUUGUUAACAUGAUACCAAAAAACACCAGUAUCCGCCAGAAGAUUACACGCGAAAAGCUUAAAACUCAAAAGACUUGGCGGUGCUCCGUAUUCGCCUUAGAGGAGCCUGUCCUAUAAUCGAUAACCCACGUUUUACCUUACCAUCUUUUGUCAAUACAGCCUAUAUACCGCCGUCGCAAACUUACCCCAUGAGGGAACAACAGUAAGUAAAAUAGUAACACACUAACACGUCAGGUCAAGGUGUAGCUAAUAAGAUGGAAGAGAUGGGCUACAUUUUCUAAAACAGAACACACGGCAAAGAGCACUGAAAUAUGCUCUAAAAGGUGGAUUUAAUAGUAAGAUAGAAAAGAAAACCUAUCUAAAAC
Molecule: ribosomal RNA, 728 nt
Filed under: Liolaemus koslowskyi
Lineage: Eukaryota; Metazoa; Chordata; Lepidosauria; Squamata
Description: partial 12S ribosomal RNA
Rfam family: Bacterial small subunit ribosomal RNA
Source: RNAcentral